Molecule: non-coding RNA, 267 nt
Filed under: Cathartes aura (turkey vulture)
Lineage: Eukaryota; Metazoa; Chordata; Aves; Accipitriformes; Cathartidae
Description: Eukaryotic small subunit ribosomal RNA
Rfam family: Eukaryotic small subunit ribosomal RNA
Source: Rfam by way of RNAcentral
UAUCAGACCAAAACCAACCCGGGCCCACCCAGCAGCUUUUCAGAGAGAUGGCCGGGCAGCACCGAACUCCGGGGAAGCGAGCAUUUAUCAGACCAAAACAAACCCGGGCCCGCCCGGCAGCUUUAGUGACUCUAGAUCACCUCGAGACGAUCGCACGACCCCGCGGUGGCGAUGACCCCUUCAAAUGUCUGCCCCAUCAGCUUCCGAUGGUACUGUCUGUGCCUACCGUGGUGACCACAGGUGAUGGGGAAUCAGGGUUCAAUUCUG